Coturnix japonica (Japanese quail) is the source of this 1726-nucleotide long non-coding RNA. The record is from Ensembl. NCBI's taxonomy places the organism in Eukaryota, Metazoa, Chordata, Aves, Galliformes, Phasianidae.
AUUCAGACAUCAUAUGAUACCAUGGAGGCCUUCCUGCAUCCAAGAACAGACGGUCUGGGGAAAAAGUAUUUAUUUAAAUACCCUCCCUUUGUCUUGUUAAUAGAAACUUCUGAAAUAACUUGCAGGCUGCGCUGAACAAGACACCACCCAGUUCACUACCACAAAUAGAGAUUGAAGGCACAGAAUUUCGCAGUGGCAUCCCAUACAUUGCACGUGUUCGCUGCAAAGUUUCUGAAAUUGAGGAUUCAUACCACAGUCAGUGGAGUGACUGGAGCCAGACAACGGUAUUUCAAAGAGAAGGUACAAAGAAUGUUGGUUUUGCCUUAAUUUCAUGGGUUGCUGUUGUUGUUGGGUUGUUUUUGCUUUAAUUCCUGUUUUAGGUUCAUUUGUGCUGAUUGUAUAUUUGGGGAUCUAUCUUAAAAUCCAGGCUUUCUAUUUUUAUUUAUGUAUUUAUUGUUUUUUUUUUUUGUGCUGGUUCUUUUCAUAGGUGUAUCAGAACUGUCUGAAAAACUCUUUGAUACCAAAACAUUGCAGUUCUUGAUCAUUCCUCUGACUUUUGGCACCCUACUCUAUUUAUUUUGGAACUUAAAGCUUUCUUCAAGGGCAAAAGUCCUCUCCUGCCUUAAUAUUCCCACACCAGCUGCUUUCUUUCAGCCACUCUAUAAUUUGCAUCAUGGGAAUUUUAAGGUAAGAUGUUUCAUUUAUUUCUUACAUUCUUCAGUUUAAGGGAGGGUUGGUUUUUUAUAGUUUUUUUUCUAGGACUGAUCUUUCUACCUCCUGAGCAGCGCUACCAACACAUGGCUUCGGUCUUCCUGGGUAGUUCAUGGUUUCUCAGUUUCCUGUCUCCAAAUACUAACUGCACCACCAGAGCUGCUGUCUAGCUUCUGUUUCUGUAGAAAUUUUCUCCAGUAACUCAGUUCCUCAUCCAUCUGCUAUCUGUGCUUUUUCCAUAUCCACAGUAUCUUUCCACGUAUUACCAAUAACUGAUGUUUUCAGUCUCUCCCUUGUUGAGACAGAUAACACUGGUAUCCAAGUGCAGCAUUCAAAGGCUGUUCUGAUUUAUUAAACCAAGUUUCUCUCUCAUAAGGAACCAAGAAUUUUAUCUGUUAGUUUGAAACAGAGAGAUCAAGGAAGCAGCAGUCUUUCCCAAGCAGGCAGCUUCUCCCUUGUAGCAAAUUAACGUUGCUGCCUUCUUCCAGUAGGUUCCCCCUCCCACCUUUCCUAAUGUGUAAGGUAUGUUUGAAUGGUCUUCCUGUUGACCACUGAUGUUCCCUCUGUAUUGAGAGCCUUUCUGAAAACAAGCACUAAAUCUGAAAAGGAAAGAGGAAAAAAAGAAAAGACAGGGCAGAUCUGUUUAGUGAAAGUGGCAAAAGUCAAGAAGCAUCAGUAGUGCAUUUACCAUCUCUCAUCUUCCAUCUUCUGAUACACAUACUGAAUCUGGAAGAUGCAUGCUGUCUUUACAAAGGAAUACAAACAGCCUGUAGCACAUUAUGGAGGUAAGAUCUUGAAAAUUUAAUAUGAAAUCUUCCCUCAGGAAACUUAAAUACUAUUGAUACUCUGUAACUUACAUUUUGCCUAUUAGAUUUGCACUAAACCUCUUGAUUUUUGUACCAAAGCCAUACAGAGAGAACAGUUAGUUUGAAAAUUCCACCUCUGAGCAAAUUGUCCUGAACUUACUGAUCCUUUCACUAGGACUGGGUUGGACCUAACGAGGCUUGUAACCCAC